RNAcentral lists this long non-coding RNA (507 nucleotides) under Olea europaea subsp. europaea. The record is from RNAcentral. Lineage: Eukaryota; Viridiplantae; Streptophyta; Magnoliopsida; Lamiales; Oleaceae.
UAAAUUAUACAGUAAACAGCAGCCAAAAAAAAUAAAAAUUACUUCAAUUUCCCGUUAAAAAAUCUUUAACAAACGAAAAACACUUUCUACAACCACCCCCUACCCCCACCCAAAAAAAAAAAAAAAAAGAGCUUACAGUCAGGAUUAACGCAGCCCGUUGAACAGGAAUCGUAGCAGCUGACGCCUUGGGAUUCAACGCCCUCCAUGUUUACUGAAAAUAUGACCAGAAGUGUCGCUAAAACUAUUAUCAGCAUCUUCUUCUCCAUUUUUCCACAAUUGUACAAUCUUGAUCUGAAUUUUUGAAGUACAACUGUGAAAUUCUGCUAUUUAUAGAAAUAGUUUAACCCAAGUUGGAGCGAAUUUUUCGACUAGACCAUUUAAGUCAGAGUCAAAAAAUGGAUGCAAUUUGGCUUAAGGAUGGGGCUUCGUGUGGCUCAUCUAUUCUGGGCCUGGAAAAUAUCCUAUUGUGAAUAGAAUGGAUUGGCUUGUUGGUGGUAAGGAAAAAAU